AGCGAGAUGGCGCAGCUGGUAGCGCGCUGGGCUCAUACGACCGGCGGACGGUCCGUGUGUCACCCAGAGGUCGUCGGAUCGAAACUGACUCUCGCUA
RNAcentral lists this transfer RNA (97 nucleotides) under Puccinia triticina. Its description in RNAcentral is "tRNA-iMet". It matches the Rfam family "tRNA". From Rfam's summary of the family: Transfer RNA (tRNA) molecules are approximately 80 nucleotides in length. Their secondary structure includes four short double-helical elements and three loops (D, anti-codon, and T loops). The record is from RNAcentral. RNAcentral also lists the same sequence under 1 other name. Lineage: Eukaryota; Fungi; Basidiomycota; Pucciniomycetes; Pucciniales; Pucciniaceae.